GCCUACGGGGGGCAGCAGUGGGGAAUUUUGGACAAUGGGGGCAACCCUGAUCCAGCCAUGCCGCGUGCGGGAAGAAGGCCUUCGGGUUGUAAACCGCUUUUGUCGGGGAAGAAAUCUUCUGGGCUAAUACCCCGGGAGGAUGACGGUACCCGAAGAAUAAGCACCGGCUAACUACGUGCCAGCAGCCGCGGUAAUACGUAGGGUGCAAGCGUUAAUCGGAAUUACUGGGCGUAAAGCGUGCGCAGGCGGUCGCACAAGACAGAUGUGAAAUCCCCGGGCUUAACCUGGGAACUGCAUUUGUGACUGUGUGGCUGGAGUGCGGCAGAGGGGGAUGGAAUUCCGCGUGUAGCAGUGAAAUGCGUAGAUAUGCGGAGGAACACCGAUGGCGAAGGCAAUCCCCUGGGCCUGCACUGACGCUCAUGCACGAAAGCGUGGGGAGCAAACAGGAUUAGAUACCCCGGUAGC
Molecule: ribosomal RNA, 465 nt
Filed under: uncultured bacterium
Lineage: Bacteria
Description: bacterial SSU rRNA
Rfam family: Bacterial small subunit ribosomal RNA
Source: RNAcentral